UACGUAGGGCGCAAGCGUUAUCCGGAAUUAUUGGGCGUAAAGAGCUCGUAGGCGGUUUGUCGCGUCUGCUGUGAAAUCCCGAGGCUCAACCUCGGGCCUGCAGUGGGUACGGGCAGACUGGAGUGAUGUAGGGGAGACUGGAAUUCCUGGUGUAGCGGUGAAAUGCGCAGAUAUCAGGAGGAACACCGAUGGCGAAGGCAGGUCUCUGGGCAUUAACUGACGCUGAGGAGCGAAAGCAUGGGGAGCGAACAGG
This 253-nucleotide ribosomal RNA is filed under the name uncultured bacterium. RNAcentral describes it as "partial 16S ribosomal RNA". It matches the Rfam family "Bacterial small subunit ribosomal RNA", at positions 524 to 776 of the family's 1533-position model. The record is from RNAcentral.